RNAcentral lists this ribosomal RNA (779 nucleotides) under uncultured bacterium. Its description in RNAcentral is "bacterial SSU rRNA". It matches the Rfam family "Bacterial small subunit ribosomal RNA", at positions 94 to 863 of the family's 1533-position model. The record is from RNAcentral.
AGUGGCGAACGGGUGAGUAACACGUAAGUGAUCUGCCCUGGGGAUGGGGAUAGCUCAUGGAAACAUGGGGUAAGACCGAAUACCGUAACACUAUUUGAAGGUUAUGUUACGAAAAGAGCUACGGCUCUGCCCUGGGAUGAGCUUGCGGCCCAUUAGUUAGUUGGUGAGGUAAAGGCCCACCAAGGCAACGAUGGGUAGCCGGCCUGAGAGGGUGAACGGCCACAUUGGGACUGAGACACGGCCCAGACUCCUACGGGAGGCAGCAGCUAAGAAUCUUCCGCAAUGGGCGAAAGCCAGACGGAGCGACGCCGCGUGAACGAAGAAGGCAGAGAUGUUGUAAAGUUCUUUUCCUGUUGAAGAAUAAGUGGAAGAGGGAAUGCUUCUAUGAUGACGUUAGACAGGGAAUAAGCCACGGCUAAUUACGUGCCAGCAGCCGCGGUAACACGUAAGUGGCGAGCGUUGUUCGGAUUCAUUGGGCGUAAAGGGCGUGUAGGCGGCGUAUCAAGCUUGGUGUGAAAUAUUUCGGCUUAACCGAAAAAACGCGCUGAGAACUGAUAUGCUAGAGUUCAAGAGGGGGAGUUAGAAUUCCAGGUGUAGGGGUGAAAUCUGUAGAUAUCUGGAAGAAUACCGGUGGCGAAGGCGAACUCCUGGCAAUGAACUGACGCUGAGGCGCGAAAGCGUGGGUAGCGAACAGGAUUAGAUACCCUGGUAGUCCACGCUGUAAACUAUGGCACUAAGUGUUGGGGGGUUUACCUCCAGUGCUGAAGCGAACGUGAUAA